GUAUUUCCUUGUUGUGAGUCUAGCGAAUAUUUGAUUAUCUUUAAGUUGAUCCAUAGUAUAUUCAACAGUCUCAUGAGAACAUAAUUUUUGUUGAUGAUUUGUCCAAAGUUUCUAUCAAUCCAUCUUAGCAGCAGAGCCAAGUGUUAGAGUUAUUGCUGCCUGAGUUAUAACAGCUGCCCUGGGAAUCUUGUCUGAACAACAAGUUAACUGCUGUUCCCAGUUAUAUCUGGUCUUUCCCACCCCCAAACAUACACAAAAGAUUUUUGUCAUUCUUGGCACUGGACAACAGAAGUGAUAAGACAUGCCAGCAGAACUCUAAAGGCAGAAUGUCCUUCCACCUGUUUUAUGCUGUAAGACAAACUUCCAAGUGCGAGGCAGUGUGGAGGGCUGUUGCCUUGAAUGGCAGCUGAAUGCACCAGCGGGAUCCUUGGCAGCAAUGCCCAGGCACUGAAGUCGGGCAUUCAGGAGAGCUAAAUGGAGAAAAGAAACUUGAGCAAACUGCUUCCUGGAACACUGAGAACCUGAAUGGGAAAUUAAGAAGAACCAGAUUCUUUCUAUUCUUCCACCAGCCAAGAUUUUCCCACCCAUCUUAAAGCAGCAACUUCAGGAUGGGGGAAUCAAGCAAAACCAUGGUGAAGAGAUUCAUUUAAAGAGGACAAGUGAUUUAUUCUACAUCUCAGGAGACAGUUCCUUAAGGUGAUGAGCACAAAAGGAUCCAUCUUAUACAGUGCUUGCCAGCUUCCAUAAUACUACUCACCACGAUGUUGAAAUCACCUGUUCCAGAACCAGUCCUGUCCUUUGACAAGAAGGAUUUAAUUAUCAGUAGUGGUGGGGACUGGCUGGAGAGAGGAAAAACACUUCAAGGACUCUGCCACCUUUCGUAGAUGGAGAGUGCAAAGUUUGUACCAUGGAACUCCUUCUCUAACAGUUACUCUGUGGCAGUGCCUAUUUCAAACCUCCCUUAACUUCUGAUUGUAUAGAUGUUUGUUUCAUUUGUUCAUCUGUUUGUUCACUUAGUCAGAGAUGUUUUAAGCCUUAAGAGAAAUAGUGGACUAGAAAAUGCCUUGGAAAAGUACAAAGUUCAAUCCAAGUAAACUGUUUUUAAACUAGGAAUUUAUGAAGCCUAAAAUAUAAAAUGUAUAUACAUGGAUAUGCUCUGAAGUGAGGUAGAGGGGUAGAAAUCAACAUUGUGAUAUUGUACUAUAGUUUUGCAAGAUGUUACCAUUGGGGGAAAAUGUUUGAAGGGUAUACGGGAUAUCUCUGCCUUAUUUCUUACAACUGCAUGUGAAUCUACAGUUAUCUCAAAAUAAAAAUUUAAUUAACAAUUGAUUACAAUUAACAGCAUUAA
This is a long non-coding RNA of Homo sapiens (human), 1348 nucleotides long. Ensembl annotates it as long intergenic non-protein coding RNA 3013. NCBI's taxonomy places the organism in Eukaryota, Metazoa, Chordata, Mammalia, Primates, Hominidae. The record is from Ensembl.